RNAcentral lists this ribosomal RNA (234 nucleotides) under uncultured bacterium. RNAcentral's name for it is "partial 16S ribosomal RNA". It matches the Rfam family "Bacterial small subunit ribosomal RNA", at positions 118 to 351 of the family's 1533-position model. The record is from RNAcentral.
UGAGUAACCUGCCCUUAACUCUGGGAUAAGCCUGGGAAACUGGGUCUAAUACCGGAUAUGACUCCUCAUCGCAUGGUGGGGGGUGGAAAGCUUUAUUGUGGUUUUGGAUGGACUCGCGGCCUAUCAGCUAGUUGGUGUGGGUAAUGGCCCACCAAGGCGACGACGGGUAGCCGGCCUGAGAGGGUGACCGGCCACACUGGGACUGAGACACGGCCCAGACCCCUAGGGAGGCAG